GACGAACGCUGGCGGCGUGCUUAACACAUGCAAGUGGAGCGACGAACCGGUCUUCGGACCGGGGCAGAGCCGCGAACGGGUGAGUAACACGUGGGUAACCCACCCCGAUGGCCGGGACAACCCGAGGAAACUCGGGCUAAUACCGGAUGAGCUCUCAUCUUUUGAGAGAUGUGAGGAAAGAUAGCUUCGGCCUUCGCAUCGGGACGGGCCCGCGGCCCAUUAGCUUGUUGGUGGGGUAACGGCCUACCAAGGCGACGAUGGGUAGCUGGUCUGAGAGGACGAUCAGCCACACUGGGACUGAGACACGGCCCAGACUCCUACGGGAGGCAGCAGUGGGGAAUCUUGCACAAUGCGCGAAAGCGUGAUGCAGCAACGCCGCGUGGGGAAGAAGG
Molecule: ribosomal RNA, 392 nt
Filed under: uncultured bacterium
Lineage: Bacteria
Description: bacterial SSU rRNA
Rfam family: Bacterial small subunit ribosomal RNA
Source: RNAcentral